Molecule: ribosomal RNA, 334 nt
Filed under: uncultured bacterium
Lineage: Bacteria
Description: bacterial SSU rRNA
Rfam family: Bacterial small subunit ribosomal RNA
Source: RNAcentral
CGCGUAGGUGGUCCUUCAAGUCAGAUGUUAAAUCUCCCGGCUUAACUGGGAGGUGUCAUCUGAUACUGCUGGACUCGAGGGCGGUAGAGGGAGGUGGAAUUCCCGGUGUAGUGGUGAAAUGCGUAGAUAUCGGGAGGAACACCAGUGGCGAAAGCGGCCUCCUAGGCCGUUCCUGACACUGAGGCGCGGAAAGCGUGGGGGAGCGAACAGGAUCAGAUACCCUGGUAGUCCACGCCCUAAACUGUGGAAACUAGGUACAGGGAGUAUCGACCCUUCCUGCGCCGUAGCUAACGCGUUAAGUUUCCCGCCUGGGGACUACGGUCGCAAGACUAAA